RNAcentral lists this long non-coding RNA (492 nucleotides) under Sus scrofa (pig). RNAcentral describes it as "lncRNA (ENSSSCG00015057435.1)". The record is from RNAcentral. Lineage: Eukaryota; Metazoa; Chordata; Mammalia; Artiodactyla; Suidae.
UGGCGCAGUGGUUAACGAAUCCGACUAGGAACCAUGAGGUUGCGGGUUCGAUCCCUGGCCUUGCUCAGUGGGUUAACGAUCCGGCGUUUCCGUGAGCUGUGGUGUAGGUUGCAGACGCGGCUCGGAUCCAGCGUUGCUAUGGCUCUGGCGUAGGCCGGUGGCCACAGCUCCGAUUCGACCCCUAGCCUGGGAACCUCCAUAUGCCGCGGGCAUUUCUACCCUUCCAAACAGAAUGGCUAUCCUCCAGAGUUUAGACAACUGGUCCACACUGAAGACAUUGUUUCUGAAAGAGUUCCCAUGACAACCUCCCUCUUCAAGGGUAUAGAGAAUUUAUUCAAAGUCAGAUACAGACUGGCCAAACCACCUUCUACAAAGCGGACAGGAAAAAAGAGCCUACAGAAAAGGUAGGAGUUGUUAUAAAAUUGCCUUAAUUCCGCUCUCUCUGCGUUACAAGCCGGGGGUGGGUAGUGGACUGCCGUGCUGUGUGCUCCA